This is a long non-coding RNA of Solenopsis invicta (red fire ant), 1663 nucleotides long. RefSeq lists it as uncharacterized. The record is from RefSeq and is a predicted model, not a curated record. NCBI's taxonomy places the organism in Eukaryota, Metazoa, Arthropoda, Insecta, Hymenoptera, Formicidae. The transcript is spliced from 2 exons.
UAGGAAAUUUUGAUAAAAUUGCUGGUUAAAAUAUUCCAAAAUAAAUAUAAAAUUCAACAAAAUGCAAUCAAAAUUUCAUCAAAAUUUUAUUAUAAUUUUAUUACAAUUUUUCCACCAGGGAAUACAUAUAUACAUUAUACAUAUUCAUCUGGGCGUAUGUGUGCGUGAGUUACAAGUACAUAUAUACAUACUCGCAUAUACGUAAUAUACACACGUAUAUUAGAUAUCUAAUUGCAACAAAUGACUUCAGAAACAAACAAUAGCAUAAUUUAAAAAAAAGUCGUUAUUGCAGCUAUUUAAUACUUCUUACGUAGUGCGUCAAGAGUAUCUCUUGAAGCUUUGCAGUUACAAGAAGUGGCUCUUUAUCCUUUUCUCUAUUUACAAUUACAAUAUGUUAUAUAUGCGAUACUCUGAAUACGAUUUUAUUACUAAAAUUGAUAUACAAUAUGUGAAUCUAAUUUGUGUAAAAAUAAUUGUAACAUAAGUGCUCUGACAAGAACCUAGUAAUCUCUUCUUUGUGUUUAUUGUAAAAAAUAAAUAUAAAAGUUUGUAAGAUAUUAAAGAUAAUCUACACAUGCACACACACACACACAUGCACACACACACACACACACACACACACACACACACACACACACACACACACACAGACACGCGCGCGCGCGAAUUUGUUAUUAUUUGAAUUAUUUCAAAUAUAAUUAUACAGAUAUCUAACCACACGAGGUGUGGUAUUAAUAAAUUAUGAACUUUUUCUUAACAUACCUUUCACGUAAUUUAUAUAUAGAAAAAAAUUGCUGAUACUCUGGCAUAAGUCCAUAUCAGAUUAUCGACUAUGAAGGCUCUGAUUGUUAAUUCGUGUUUAGGGCGGAUCCAAUUAUUUUCAAUUUGCGUGAUCAGUUGAUUGAAUUUAGGAAUAGCCAACUUUGAAACUUAAAAUUGGUCGUAUUAUUUUACUUUACUUGUCUAUUUUCUACAAAUUAUUAUUUGUGUAAAAUAUAUUUAUACAAAUAAUAAUUUAAUUUAAUAAUUUAGUAAUUUUUUAUUAAAAUAAUUAAAAAAUUAGUUUAAGGAUGAUCACUUUUAAAUUUCACAGUUGGCGAUUUAUAAAUUUUUUUAAUCAGCCGUUUUUUUUUAGAUUAAUUGGAAUUUGUGAGAGUGGGAGCACAGACUUACAUAACGCAUAAAAGAAUUAACCAAUCAGUUCUUCAUUUCUAUCCUGGAAGAUACUUGUUGUCGGUUAAGAACUAGGGUGCGUUAUUCAGAGUGCUAAAAAGUUAUAAAUAUAGCGCUCAGAUCGAGGAUGUCUUCGGAGGAUAUGCAUCUUCUCGGCCGAUGAAAAGAUUGAAGUUGGUAGAAUGCCGAAGUAUGGCAGAGCUAAAGCAAUCUAAUAAUGGGGAAUUCGUCAGCCAAAGAUAAAUAUGGAAUCCGAGGAUAUAGAAUUAAUGGCGAAAACCAUUGAGAGUCACUUCGGGUUGUUGUGUGGCUCCGUGUGUAGAGCGUCGGAUUCAUUAGUAUCAGAUUGCAGAGUUUGAUUCCAGAUAUUGUGUAUAUACGAAUUUUUAAUUUGUAUAUUUAAGUACAAGGGACUGAUAGUUCCACCUGCUUCCUAAUUAUAAGUUUGCUCGACUUCAAUAUUGCUAAUUAUACUAAUAAUACGACUGCA